UACAGAGGGUGCGAGCGUUAAUCGGAAUUACUGGGCGUAAAGGGCGCGUAGGCGGUGAUAUAAGUGAUGUGUGAAAUCCCUGGGCUUAACCUAGGAACUGCACGUCAGACUGUAUCGCUAGAGCAUGGCAGAGGGCAGUGGAAUUUCCGGUGUAGCGGUGAAAUGCGUAGAGAUCGGAAGGAACACCAGUGGCGAAGGCGACUGCCUGGGCCAAUGCUGACGCUGGGGCGCGAAAGCCAGGGGAGCGAACGGG
RNAcentral lists this ribosomal RNA (253 nucleotides) under uncultured bacterium. RNAcentral's name for it is "partial 16S ribosomal RNA". It matches the Rfam family "Bacterial small subunit ribosomal RNA", at positions 524 to 776 of the family's 1533-position model. The record is from RNAcentral.